Molecule: long non-coding RNA, 1368 nt
Filed under: Homo sapiens (human)
Lineage: Eukaryota; Metazoa; Chordata; Mammalia; Primates; Hominidae
Description: HSALNT0090374
Source: RNAcentral
CGAGCGGGAACCGGGGCUGCGCGCGUUGCUUGCGGGCCAGCUGGAGUUCCGGGUGGGCGUGGGCUUCCACACUGUGGAGGCUUUGUUCUUUCGCUCUUUGCGAUAAAUCUUGCUACUGCUCACUCUUUGGGUCCACGCUGCUUUUAUGAGCUGUAACACUCACCGCGAAGGUCUGCAGCUUCACUCCUGAAGCCAGUGAGACCACGAGCCCACCAGGAGGAAGGAACAACUCCAGACGCGCCACCUUAAGAGCUGUAACACUCACCGGGAAGGUCUGUAGCUUCACUCCUGAGCCAGCGAGACCACGAACCCACCAGAAGGGAGAAACUCCGAACACAUUCGAACAUCAGAAGGACCAAACUCCAGACGCGCCACCUUAAGAGCUGUAACACUCACUGCGAGGGUCCGCGGCUUCAUUCUUGAAGUCAGUGAGACCAAGAACCCACCAAUUCCGGACACAGUGGCUGGGAUUACAGGCACGUGCCACCAUGCCUGGCUAGUUUUUGUAUUUUUUGUAGAGACGGGAUUUUGCCAUGUUGCCCAGGCUGGUCUCGAACUCCUGGAGUCAAGUGAUCUGCCUGCCUCAGCCUUCCAAAGUGCUGGGAUUACAGGAAUUUAUUCUCAUUUUACAGAUGAGGAAACUGCAGCACAGAAAGUCUGUUACUUGACCAAAGUUACAUAGGUGAUAAGUGAUAGAAUGGGGAUUUGAACGUAGGCAAUUCUGUCUCAGCCCCAGCUUGUUCUCCCAUUCUAAAGAUCACAUCUUUGACUCAUUUUGUCUGCCUGAUUGCUUAUGGUGAUGCUUGGGGCCACAGGUCCUCACUGCAGACCUCCCAGGGGCAGGAGCCCUGCCCCUGAGCCCUAGACCAGGAGCCUUCCCCCUUCCUCCAAUUUUCAGCCUCUCUGCCCUGGACUCCUCCUUGGGCUGCCACCUAAUGCCAGUCUCCAAACAUUCCAGAUGCUAUCUCUCUGGCGCCCAGACUCUGUGCUGUUCUUCUGAGCUUGGCACUUGAAACUGCUCUGUCCACACUGCUCUGCCUCCAGCUCCUGAUAUGCCUAUUAGUAAGCAACCCAUUUCCAGAAAGUGGCUGGCUCAAACUUUUGACACCCAGGAGAUCAUCCAAACCGCCUUAAUUUCUUCCUUCUGCUGUGUAAAGAAGAGGCUUACUCUGGCACUGGCUCUUGAAAGCCACUCGUGUGCAUCUCUUCCCAGCUUGUUCAGAUGUUGGUAACUUAAAGAUAGCCAUGGUGGAGGUAUUUGUAUCCUGGAAAUUGGCAAAGGCUACAAAUCAAGGUUUCCUUGGGCCAGCAAGCUAACCCUAACCCAAAACCCUAAUCUUCAUGGGCAUGACCAGCCCUAAUAGUCAG